AAAACUUUCAACAACGGAUCUCUUGGCUCUGGCAUCGAUGAAGAACGCAGCGAAAUGCGAUAAGUAAUGUGAAUUGCAGAAUUCAGUGAAUCAUCGAAUCUUUGAACGCACAUUGCGCCCGCCAGUGUUCUGGCGGGCAUGCCUGUUCGAGCGUCAUUACAACCCUCAGGCCCCCGGGCCUGGCGUUGGGGAUCGGCGGAAGCCCCCUGCGGGCACAACGCCGUCCCCCAAAUACAGUGGCGGUCCCGCCGCAGCUUCCAUUGCGUAGUAGCUAACACCUCGCAACUGGAGAGCGGCGCGGCCACGCCGUAAAACACCCAACUUCUGAAUGUUGACCUCGAAUCAGGUAGGAAUACCCGCUGAACUUAAGCAUAUCAAUAAGCGGAGGAAAAGAAACCAACAGGGAUUGCCCCAGUAACGGCGAGUGAAGCGGCAACAGCUCAAAUUUGAAAUCUGGCUCUCGGGCCCGAGUUGUAAUUUGUAGAGGAUGCUUUUGGUGAGGUGCCUUCCGAGUUCCCUGGAACGGGACGCCAUAGAGGGUGAGAGCCCCGUCUGGUUGGACACCGAUCCUCUGUAAAGCUCCUUCGACGAGUCGAGUAGUUUGGGAAUGCUGCUCUAAAUGGGAGGUAUAUGUCUUCUAAAGCUAAAUACCGGCCAGAGACCGAUAGCGCACAAGUAGAGUGACCGAAAGAUGAAAAGAACUUUGAAAAGAGAGUUAAAAAGUACGUGAAAUUGUUGAAAGGGAAGCGCUUGUGACCAGACUUGGGCUUGGUUGAUCAUCCGGGGUUCUCCCCGGUGCACUCUUCCGGCUCAGGCCAGCAUCAGUUCGCCCUGGGGGAUAAAGGCUUCGGGAAUGUGGCUCUCUCCGGGGAGUGUUAUAGCCCGCUGCGUAAUACCCUGUGGCGGACUGAGGUUCGCGCAUUCGCAAGGAUGCUGGCGUAAUGGUCAUCAGUGACCCGUCUUGAAACACGGACC
RNAcentral lists this ribosomal RNA (975 nucleotides) under uncultured Hypocreales. RNAcentral's name for it is "eukaryotic LSU rRNA". The stretch from base 333 to 975 matches the Rfam family "Eukaryotic large subunit ribosomal RNA", at positions 1 to 667 of the family's 3401-position model. Lineage: Eukaryota; Fungi; Ascomycota; Sordariomycetes; Hypocreales. The record is from RNAcentral.